UCGAUAACGAACGAGACCUCGACCUGCUAACUAGUGCACUUAAGCAUUCGUGCUUGAGUCGAUUCGCACUUCUUAGAGGGACUAUCGGUGUGUAGCCGAUGGAAGUUCGAGGCAAUAACAGGUCUGUGAUGCCCUUAGAUGUUCUGGGCCGCACGCGCGCUACACUGACGGGUUCAUCGAGCUUGCAAUUUGUUUACCUUGACUGACAGGUCUGGGGAAUCUUUGGAAUGCCCGUCGUGCUGGGGAUAGACCCUUGGAAUUAUGGAUCUUGAACGAGGAAUUCCUAGUAAACGCAAGUCAUCAGCUUGCAUUGAUUACGUCCCUGCCCUUUGUACACACCGCCCGUCGCUAUUACCGAUUGAAUGGAUC
This 369-nucleotide ribosomal RNA is filed under the name Eukaryota sp. RNAcentral describes it as "SSU rRNA". It matches the Rfam family "Eukaryotic small subunit ribosomal RNA", at positions 1325 to 1699 of the family's 1831-position model. The record is from RNAcentral.